RNAcentral lists this ribosomal RNA (460 nucleotides) under uncultured bacterium. RNAcentral describes it as "partial 16S ribosomal RNA". It matches the Rfam family "Bacterial small subunit ribosomal RNA", at positions 338 to 795 of the family's 1533-position model. The record is from RNAcentral.
CCUACGGGAGGCAGCAGUGAGGAAUAUUGGUCAAUGGGCUUACGCCUGAACCAGCCAAGUCGCGUGAGGGAAGACUGCCCUAUGGGUUGUAAACCUCUUUUGUCAGGGAGCAACGCCGGCUACGUGUAGCCGGACUGAGAGUACCUGAAGAAAAAGCAUCGGCUAACUCCGUGCCAGCAGCCGCGGUAAUACGGAGGAUGCGAGCGUUAUCCGGAUUUAUUGGGUUUAAAGGGUGCGUAGGCGGAAUGCAAAGUCAGCGGGAAAAUCGCGGGGCUCAACCUCGCUCCGCCGUUGAAACUGGCGUUCUUGAGUGGGCGGGAAGUAUGCGGAAUGCGUGGUGUAGCGGUGAAAUGCAUAGAUAUCACGCAGAACUCCGAUUGCGAAGGCAGCAUACCGGCGCCCAACUGACGCUGAAGCACGAAAGCGUGGGUAUCGAACAGGAUUAGAUACCCUUGUAGUC